AAUAAGAUUACAACUUUGGGCGAUAACCUUUUCGGCAAUGACAAGGACAAGCUAUUUAGGGGCAAUAGGACUGNUGANUAACACGUAUCCAACCUGCCCUUUACUCGGGGAUAGCCUUUCGAAAGAAAGAUUAAUACCCGAUAGCAUAAUGAUUCCGCAUGGUUUCAUUAUUAAAGGAUUCCGGUAAAGGAUGGGGAUGCGUUCCAUUAGGUUGUUGGUGAGGUAACGGCUCACCAAGCCUUCGAUGGAUAGGGGUUCUGAGAGGAAGGUCCCCCACAUUGGAACUGAGACACGGUCCAAACUCCUACGGGAGGCAGCAGUGAGGAAUAUUGGUCAAUGGGCGCUAGCCUGAACCAGCCAAGUAGCGUGAAGGAUGAAGGCUCUAUGGGUCGUAAACUUCUUUUAUAUAAGAAUAAAGUGCAGUAUGUAUACUGUUUUGUAUGUAUUAUAUGAAUAAGGAUCGGCUAACUCCGUGCCAGCAGCCGCGGUAAUACGGAGGAUCCGAGCGUUAUCCGGAUUUAUUGGGUUAAAGGGAGCGUAGGUGGACUGGUAAGUCAGUUGUGAAAGUUUGCGGCUCAACGGUAAAAUUGCAGUUGAUACUGUCAGUCUUGAGUACAGUAGAGUGGGGCGGAAUUCGUGGUGUAGCGGUGAAAUGCUUAGAUAUCACGAAGACUUCCGAUGNCGAAGGCAGCUCACUGGACUGCAACUGACACUGAUGCUCGAAAGUGUGGGUAUCAAACAGGAUUAGAUACCCUGGUAGUCCACACAGUAAACGAUGAAUACUCGCUGUNUGCGAUAUACAGUAAGCGGCCAAGCGAAAGCAUUAAGUAUUCCACCUGGGGAGUACGCCGGCAACGGUGAAACUCAAAGGAAUUGACGGGGGCCCGCACAAGCGGAGGAACAUGUGGUUUAAUUCGAUGAUACGCGAGGAACCUUACCCGGGCUUAAAUUGCAGUGGAAUGAUGUGGAAACAUGUCAGUGAGCAAUCACCGCUGUGAAGGUGCUGCAUGGUUGUCGUCAGCUCGUGCCGUGAGGUGUCGGCUUAAGUGCCAUAACGAGCGCAACCCUUAUCUUUAGUUACUAACAGGUUAUGCUGAGGACUCUAGAGAGACUGCCGUCGUAAGAUGUGAGGAAGGUGGGGAUGACGUCAAAUCAGCACGGCCCUUACGUCCGGGGCUACACACGUGUUACAAUGGGGGGUACAGAAGGCAGCUAGCGGGUGACCGUAUGCUAAUCCCAAAAUCCUCUCUCAGUUCGGAUCGAAGUCUGCAACCCGACUUCGUGAAGCUGGAUUCGCUAGUAAUCGCGCAUCAGCCACGGCGCGGUGAAUACGUUCCCGGGCCUUGUACACACCGCCCGUCAAGCCAUGGGAGCCGGGGGUACCUGAAGUACGUAACCGCAAGGAUCGUCCUAGGGUAAAACUGGUGACUGGGGCUAAGUCGUAACAAGGUAGCCGUACCGGAAGGUGCGGCUG
RNAcentral lists this ribosomal RNA (1474 nucleotides) under human gut metagenome. RNAcentral describes it as "bacterial SSU rRNA". It matches the Rfam family "Bacterial small subunit ribosomal RNA". The record is from RNAcentral.